Molecule: long non-coding RNA, 1906 nt
Organism: Lycium barbarum (goji berry)
Lineage: Eukaryota; Viridiplantae; Streptophyta; Magnoliopsida; Solanales; Solanaceae
Exons: 2
Source: RefSeq, a predicted model, not a curated record
GCAUUCCUUGUUUUUAGAUAAUGGACACCUUCGUAAGAGGGGAAAAAGGUGAGAAUACGAGUUUAUUAUGAGAAAGGAAAAAAAGAAUAUAAAUUCAACUAUAUAAUAAGUGAGACUUGUUGGUACGAUGAAGGGCACUUUGGGCAUUUUCGUUUUAAAUUACAACUCAUUUGUUUAUCUCUUGGGGACACGUGUGAUACAACUGCUUCCUACUCUCUUCACUUUGAGAAAGCUUCUUCCAUGCCUCUAACCUCUCUCCGGCAAAAUUUAACAGAUUUGCAUGAAGCUCUGGUCUAUUGAAGCUGAGUAUUGUCAUCUCUUCUCCAUGUUUCUGUACUUUUAUUUCUCUCUACUUUACUCUUAUUUUUUCCACUUCUAUCUUGACCUCACUAUAUUAUUCUUCAUCGAAUUGAUACCAAAACUUUUUUUUCUCCUCAAGUUUCAAUCUCAGAACUUUAUCAUCUUUUCUCUUUCGCUCCAUGAUACUUGCAUGCAUUGCAGAAUCUGUAAAUUUUCUCCCUUUUUGUGGUUGAUUUGGGAAUAAAUGCUAAUUUUCAUAUCCAUGUUUCGGGUAACAAUAGAUUAGCUCUCAAUUGGUUGUUAUUUUUUCCAUUUUCAGAUUCGGUUAAACUUUUUAACUUUUUGGAUUUUUGCUUUUGGUUGAUCUGGGGAAUGAAUGCUAAUUUGUUCUCCAAAGAUUUUUGUUUUCCAUAUUUUGGUAUGUAGUAGAUUAGCUCUCAAUCCAGUUUGUUGUGAUUGUUUUUUUGACUAUGCUAUUUUUUCAUUUAUUACUUUUUCUUGAUUGAAUAUACUAUAUGUUAAUUUUCCUACCUCAGGACUAGCUUUCUUUUUUUGGAUCUUUUGUGUUAAAGUAGAUCCACUGAGCGCAUUUUCCUCUGUCAUACGUUUGGAUCCUGUUUUAAAAUAAAAAUUUGAGGUAUGAUCUUCUUUGGUUUUCACCAAAUUGUUCUUUCCGCUGCAUGUGCUGGUAUUUCUUGAGAUUAAACAAUGGAAGUAAAUAUGUUUGCUCUAAUUCUGUAUUCCAUUUCUCAGUGUUGUUUGCAUGAGCUUUGUGGUUAGGAAAAUUUCUACAUUUUCUAUUAUUAAAUUAUGAGUUUCAUUGCAAAAUUCUUCUUACGACCUUCUUGUGGCAGAUAAUAGUACAUAGAAGUAGAGGCAACGUAACUAGAUCAGUGACAAAGGAUUGGUCGGCAGUUUGCAGUUGAUAAAGAUUGUAAAUGCAAUGGAUUUAGUGCAUCCCAAAGGAGAUAUGACCGAAAGAAUGGGCUCGUUGGAAUUACACUGAUGACCAUCCCCAUUGGGAAAGAGUUCGAGAAGCAGCAAAGGAGUACCGAGUGCCGUAUGAAAUAAUCAGAAAUGAAGUCACUCAGGCUAUCACAAAGAUAAGGUUGAAUUUUCCAUCUCAAGAUUCAACAUAAAUUGAUCUAGAGAUGCCAGGACCAUCCAGCAGAAAAUGCUACUACGCAAGGUCGCGAAAAAGAAGUCUCGAAAACAAAGAAAAUUUCAAGAAAAAACAUGGACCAGAAUGGUGGAUAGAGAAAGGAUACACAGUUCCGCCGUUGACGCCAUCAAGCAUCGCUCCGUCGGAUAAGGCUUACUGACGUGCUUACAAGAAAGACAAAAACCGACCCCAUGGUCACAUGCUUGCACAUGGUUGUCAUGCUUUGGAUAGUGUUCUCCUCGUUUUAUUAGGCUUGUUUUAUUAGGCUCGUUUUAUUAGGCUUGUUUUAUUAGGCCCUUGUCUAGCGGGACCCGUGUGUCAUGUAAGAUAUGUCUUGUAGUAGCCUCCAGCUCCUAUAAAUAAGAGGCUAUGUAAUAGUUAGAAGGUAUCAAACAAUCUCCCUGUAAAUUUUCCGAUAUCAAUAAAAUGUUUGCUUUCUAAAUU